CCUACGGUGUGCUGCAGUGAGGAAUAUUGGUCAAUGGGCGUAAGCCUGAACCAGCCAAGUCGCGUGAGGGAUGAAGGUUCUAUGGAUCGUAAACCUCUUUUAUAAGGGAAUAAAGUGCGGGACGUGUCCCGUUUUGUAUGUACCUUAUGAAUAAGGAUCGGCUAACUCCGUGCCAGCAGCCGCGGUAAUACGGAGGAUCCGAGCGUUAUCCGGAUUUAUUGGGUUUAAAGGGAGCGUAGGCGGCCUUUUAAGUCAGUGGUGAAAGUCUGGGGCUGAACCCGAGAAUUGCAGUUGAAACUGGGAGGCUUGAGUAUAGUAGAGGAGGGCGGAAUGCGUGGUGUAGCGGUGAAAUGCUUAGAUAUAACGAAGAACCCCGAUUGCGAAGGCAGCCUUCCGGGCCAUAACUGACGCUGAGGCACGAAAGCGUGGGGAUCAAACAGGAUUAGAUACCCUUGUAGUC
Molecule: ribosomal RNA, 460 nt
Filed under: uncultured bacterium
Lineage: Bacteria
Description: partial 16S ribosomal RNA
Rfam family: Bacterial small subunit ribosomal RNA
Source: RNAcentral